UAACACAUACUUGUCAAAAUUGCCUAGAACGAGGCCAUAAUCGGGGAGCACGUAAAAAUCCAAAAGAUCCAAGGUCCAAGUUGUACAAGUUACAUGUAGUUAUCAUGGUUUUAUAUGCUUAUAAUUCUUACUGCAAGCUUUUAAUGUGUGUAUCUGUUUGUUUGUGAUAGGAAAAUCCUAGAAGAGAGGAAGUGAAAAAUUCUCAAAAUGCUCCUCCAUUUUCUAGUCAAACAACACCUUCUGCAUCUACUUCUGUUACACAUCAAACAAUACCUAGAUCUGUUGCAUAGUCAAGGAAAACUCCAUUUGUUACACAAUCAAGUGCAAGGGCGGGUCCAUUUGUUGCAAACUCAAAUGCAAGGACAAUACCAUCUAUUGCGGUCCAUCUGCUGCACCUCCACAAAAAAGGAAAGGUUACAAUUAAAGUUAAUUUUAUAAUUUUUUUAAAAUAAACUGCAACUCAUGUUCAUUUUAUUAUUGUUUUCCAACAUUAAUAUUACCUUACUGGUUAUUAUUUAGGUAUAUGUUGGAAGAAGAAAUGAAGUAUGGUUAGGAAAAUGUAAGAAGUUCAACAAACCAGGUCAAAACCACCAGCUCCCCCAUCAGCUCCAUCAACACCAAUGUUAUUAGAACCAGACUGGACCGGCCGGUCGAACCGGUUCAACCGGGAACCGGCGCCUAUCCGGUCUGGUUCAUCAUUAAAACCGGGGAAAUGAAAAACCGAGGUCAGAUGCCUGAACCGAAAAAAUCGCCCAAUUGGACCGGAAAAGAAAAAAAUCGGUGAAACGCUGGUUUUCACAAUAUAUGCUAUUUUAUCACCCCAAAUGGAAAAUAUCUGAUUUUUUUAAUAAAUGAAACUUACACACGAACUUACGCAGGUUAUGAAAUUAUGUGUAGAACUUGAAGAAUUUGAAUUUAUUUCCUUCUGGGGUUAAAGAGAACCUCAGAUCUAUAUCAAAGAGAUAUAUCCAAUUAAGAUUGUCGAUCAAAAGGCUGAAGCUUAGGGCCGCUAAGAUGUGGCUUUGUGG
Molecule: long non-coding RNA, 1028 nt
Filed under: Erythranthe guttata (spotted monkey flower)
Lineage: Eukaryota; Viridiplantae; Streptophyta; Magnoliopsida; Lamiales; Phrymaceae
Description: long non-coding RNA (EGUT_LNC003861)
Source: RNAcentral